CAAGCCUUGCCUGUUGCCGAGGACAAGGAGCCGCCGGAGCGCGCCGGUUUGCUCUGUUCGCCUAUAGACACUAACACAGACUCCCUGCGCUGCAGCGAAUUUCAGCAAUGACAGUUUCUUCCAGAAAAAAAGGCUGAAUCUGGCGAGGGCGGGGCCGUGUGUAACCUCUCACCCAGGCUUUACACCUUAUGUGAACACUUUGUAUUGGAUACAUAUUUACGGACCCAGAAGGUGAACUGGAAACGCCAGCCAAAGCCCGCCGGGAGAUACGUCAGAGCAUAGAUAUCGGCUUCCUGUGUUGUCCAGGCCAUCAGAGCUAAUUACCCAGCACAAGAUGGGCAGUUCCGUGGCUACCAGGAGACAUCUAUGCUCAAGAUGAGCUGUGACUAUUGACUCUAGCAAACGCACCCUUCACUUUUUAAUUUUGGUUGAAUAGUUCAUAUUUUUUCAUGAAUAAAACUUCAAAUUCA
This is a long non-coding RNA of Gadus macrocephalus (Pacific cod), 470 nucleotides long. RefSeq lists it as uncharacterized. NCBI's taxonomy places the organism in Eukaryota, Metazoa, Chordata, Actinopteri, Gadiformes, Gadidae. The record is from RefSeq and is a predicted model, not a curated record. The transcript has 2 exons.